CUGAGUGUUAAAACUCCCAACCCAUGUGAACAUACCUAUGUUGCUUCGGCGGCCUCGCCCCGGGUGCCUCACGGCGCCCCGGAUCCAGGCGACCGCCGGGGGACCUAAACUCUUGUUUUAUUCAGUUUCUUCUGAGUGGUUUAUACAAAUAAAUCA
RNAcentral lists this unclassified non-coding RNA (156 nucleotides) under uncultured Geosmithia. RNAcentral describes it as "sequence contains ITS1". The record is from RNAcentral. Lineage: Eukaryota; Fungi; Ascomycota; Sordariomycetes; Hypocreales; Bionectriaceae.